RNAcentral lists this ribosomal RNA (253 nucleotides) under uncultured bacterium. RNAcentral's name for it is "partial 16S ribosomal RNA". It matches the Rfam family "Bacterial small subunit ribosomal RNA", at positions 524 to 776 of the family's 1533-position model. The record is from RNAcentral.
GACGGAGGGUGCUAGCGUUGUUCGGAAUGACUGGGCGUAAAGGGCGCGUAGGCGGCUCGUGAAGUCGGGUGUGAAAGCCCGGGGCUCAACCUCGGAACGGCAUCCGAUACUGGCGGGCUUGAGACCGGGAGAGGAGGGUGGAAUACCCAGUGUAGAGGUGAAAUUCGUAGAUAUUGGGUGGAACACCGGUGGCGAAAGCGGCUCUCUGGCCCGGAUCUGACGCUGAGGCGCGAAAGCGUGGGGAGCAAACAGG